CAGUAGCCGCGGUAAUACGUAGGUGGCAAGCGUUGUCCGGAAUUAUUGGGCGUAAAGGGCUCGCAGGCGGUUUCUUAAGUCUGAUGUGAAAGCCCCCGGCUCAACCGGGGAGGGUCAUUGGAAACUGGGAAACUUGAGUGCUGAAGAGGAGAGUGGAAUUCCGCGUGUAGCGGUGAAAUGCGUAGAGAUGUGGAGGAACACCAGUGGCGAAGGCGACUCUCUGGUCUGUAACUGACGCUGAGGAGCGAAAGCGUGGGGAGCGAACAGGAUUAGAUACCCGAGUAGUCCCUGUCUCUUAUAC
Molecule: ribosomal RNA, 301 nt
Filed under: uncultured bacterium
Lineage: Bacteria
Description: partial 16S ribosomal RNA
Rfam family: Bacterial small subunit ribosomal RNA
Source: RNAcentral